RNAcentral lists this ribosomal RNA (2663 nucleotides) under Nicotiana otophora. RNAcentral's name for it is "eukaryotic LSU rRNA". The stretch from base 768 to 2663 matches the Rfam family "Eukaryotic large subunit ribosomal RNA", at positions 1 to 3042 of the family's 3401-position model. Lineage: Eukaryota; Viridiplantae; Streptophyta; Magnoliopsida; Solanales; Solanaceae. The record is from RNAcentral.
CGACCCCCCUUCCCAUUUUUUAUUCCAGCAGCAGACCCCCCAUUUUUAACGAAAAAAGCUCGGUUGGAGUCCAUCGGUCCCACAAAAAGUAUAGAUUUUCGGUAUUGUAGCAAGCUAACAUCGUAUCUAAGGCGUUAUCGCGUAGUGGGUUGCUCGUUUCGGCUCCAAAUCAUCAAAUAUUCAACUUUCAAAAAAAUUAAAAUCGAGGUAUUCUGACUUAUUUUUGUUAAAACUCAUAUAAAACUCAUGUAUAAAAAAUGCCUAUUAAUUUGUUUACUAUGUUCUAUGGUAUUUCGUAAUUGUUUUGUGAUUUAAUUAAUUUGUUAUUCUUUAUCCGGAUUAUAUUAUUAGUGUGCUAAAUAAAUUAGUAAAAUAGAGAAAUUGUUAUUUUAUAAAUAAUUAAGGUUUUUAGUUGUUAUAAAAAAUGGUAAUUAGUUACUGUUUACUGUGGUAUAUAUAUUUUCAUGAUUGUUUUGUGAUUAAAUCAAUUUGUUAUUUUUUAUCCGGAUUAGAUAAAUUAUGUGCUAAAACAUUAGUAAAAUAGAUAAAUUGUUAUUUUAGGAAUAAUUAAUCUUAUUUAGAUGUUAUUGUUUUACAUAUAUUAAUAUAUGACUUUAAUGUUAUUUAGUUCGUUGUAGUGUUAUGUUGUGCCUGUAAUUUUAAUGUAGUACCCGUAAUUUUAAUGUAGUCCUUUAGUGUAGUAAAAUGUAGUGCCCUUUUGCGUAGUAUCUUUGUAGUUAUUGAAAUUAAUCAUUUAAUUAUCUGUUAGUCCCAAAAAUAUAUGAAAACGAUGAUAGUUCAAACACAAACUCUCUCGAAUUCUACUAAACAAACAUAAGUAAAUAACAUUAAACAACAACAAUAUUUGUCAAACUAAGUAUGUUUAUAUGAAUAUUUAAUAAUUAAAUCAUGCAUAGUUAUGAAAAUUAAUUAUUUAAUUCUAUUAUACACAAAAAUAAGUGAGUAAGAAAAAAAACAUAUAAAAUAAUAAACUAACAUAUAAAUUAAUAAACAAACAUAUAAAAUAGUAAAUUAACAAAUAAAAUAAUAAACUAACAUAUAAAAUAAUAAACUAACAUAUACAAUAUUCAAAUGAGAACUUUCGAGGCCGAAGAGGGGAAAGGUUUCAUGUGAACGACACUUGCACAUGGGUUAGUCGAUCCUAAGGGUCGGGGUAACCCCGACAGAUAGCACGUUUCGCGCGUACUCCGAAAGGCAAUCGGGUUAAGAUUCCUGAAUCGGGACCUGGCAGUUGACGGCAACGUUAGGAAGUUCGGAGACGUCGGCGGGGGCCUCGGGAAGAGUUAUCUUUUCUGUUUAAUAGCCUGCCCACCUUGGAAACGACUCGGUCAGAGGUAGGGUCCAGUGGCUGGAAGAGCACCGCACGUCGCGUGGUGUCCGGUGUGCCCCCGGCGGCCCAUGAUAAUCCGGAGGAUUGAGUACUGUCCACGCCCGGUCAUACUCAUAACCACAUCAGGUGUCCAAGGUGAACAGUCUCUGGUCGAUGGAACAAUGUAGGCAAGGGAAGUCGGCAAAAUAGAUCCGUAACUUCGGGAAAAUGAUUGGCUCUGAGGGCUGGGUACGGAAGUCCUAGUUCCGAACCAGUCGGCUAUCGGUGGACUGCUCGAGCUGCUUCCGCGGCGAGAGCGGGUCACCGCAUGCCAACCGGGGGACAGACUGGGAACGGUUCCUUUGGAGGCCUUCCCCGGGCGUCAUACAUCCAACUCAUAACUGGUACGGACAAGGGGAAUCCGACUAUUUAGUUAAAACAAAGUAUCGCGAUGGUCCCUACGGAUGUUUAUGCAAUGUGAUUUCUGCCCAUUGCUCUAAAUGUCAAAGUGAAGAAAUUCAACAAGGCGCGGGUAAACGAUGGGAGUAACUAUGCCUCUCUUAAGGUAGCCAAAGGACUCAUUAUCUAAUUAGUGAUGCGCAUGAAUGGAUUAACGAGAUUCCUACUGUCCUUGUCUACUAUCCAGUGAAACCACAACCAAGGGAACAUGCUUGGCAGAAUAAUUGGGGAAAGAAGACCCUGUUGAGGUUGACUCUAGUCCGACUUUGUGAAAUGACUUGAGAGGUGUAGUAUAAGUGGGAGCCUAAAGGUGAAAGUGAAAUACCACUACUUUUAACGUUAUUUUACUUAUUCAGUGAAUCGAAAAUAGGGCACUGCCCCUUUUUUUGGACCCAAGUCUUGCUUGCAGGCCAAUCCGAGCGGAAGACAUUGUCUGGUGGGGAGUUUGGCUGGGGCGACACAUAUGUUAAAAGAUAACGCAAGUGUCCUAAGACAAGCUCAACGAGAACAGAAAUCUCGUGUGGAAUAGGAGGCUAAAAGGUCGUUUGAUUCUGAUUUCUAGUAUGAAUACGAACCAUGAAAGUGUGGCAUAAUGAUCCUUUAGACCUUCGAAAUUCAAAGCUAGAGGUGUCAGAAAAGUUACCACAGGGAUAACUGACUUGUGGUAGCCAAGCGUUCUCAAUGACAUUGCUCUUUAAUCCUUCGAUGUCGGCUCUUCCUAUCAUUAUAAAGCAGAAUUCACCAAGUGUUUGAUUGUUCACCCAUCAAUAGGGAACGUGAGAUGGGUUUAGACCGCCGUGAGACAGGUUAGUUUUACCCUACUGAUAACACCUUGGUACGUCAUUGCGUCAAAACAGUUCGUAAUGCAAGAAAA